Molecule: ribosomal RNA, 497 nt
Filed under: uncultured bacterium
Lineage: Bacteria
Description: partial 16S ribosomal RNA
Rfam family: Bacterial small subunit ribosomal RNA
Source: RNAcentral
GAUGAACGCUGGCGGCGUGCCUAAUACAUGCAAGUCGAGCGAACGUACGAGAAGCUUGCUUCUCUGAUGUUAGCGGCGGACGGGUGAGUAACACGUGGAUAACCUACCUAUAAGACUGGGAUAACUUCGGGAAACCGGAGCUAAUACCGGAUAAUAUUUUGAACCGCAUGGUUCAAAAGUGAAAGACGGUCUUGCUGUCACUUAUAGAUGGAUCCGCGCUGCAUUAGCUAGUUGGUAAGGUAACGGCUUACCAAGGCAACGAUGCAUAGCCGACCUGAGAGGGUGAUCGGCCACACUGGAACUGAGACACGGUCCAGACUCCUACGGGAGGCAGCAGUAGGGAAUCUUCCGCAAUGGGCGAAAGCCUGACGGAGCAACGCCGCGUGAGUGAUGAAGGUCUUCGGAUCGUAAAACUCUGUUAUUAGGGAAGAACAUAUGUGUAAGUAACUGUGCACAUCUUGACGGUACCUAAUCAGAAAGCCACGGCUAACUACGUG